RNAcentral lists this unclassified non-coding RNA (427 nucleotides) under Hevea brasiliensis (rubber tree). The record is from RNAcentral. Lineage: Eukaryota; Viridiplantae; Streptophyta; Magnoliopsida; Malpighiales; Euphorbiaceae.
CUUCUUCCCAUCAUCAAAAGCAACAGACACAACAGGUGAGCCUUCAAAAACUUCUACAACUGUCCCUAUAUGCCAGGUAUUAUCAGACGAAUGAUGAAUUUCCACUCUCUUUCCUUUUGCAUCUUUUCCCAACUUCUGCAGUAUCCAGUUAGCAUCCAAAAACUCAUCCAUUGUAUUGUCUUCAUAUUGCUGUGAUAAAUUUUCAUCAGCCCAGGUUGAUGAUUUUUCUCCAAAGGCUGGUGCUCUCUUUCUUUUAGACCUCUGGCCCUUAACCACGCUUUUAUGCUCCUCUCCUGGAGAAGCCCAGGCAUUUUGACUUUCAUGGCAAGGAUUCUUGAGCUUUAGGAGAGGUUUUGGAUCCUUUCUCGCUGAAUUUGAUACUGAAGGUGUGCUAUUUUUCAAGUCAUUUAGGUCAUCACAAGAAGCG